Molecule: long non-coding RNA, 4101 nt
Organism: Sapajus apella (tufted capuchin)
Lineage: Eukaryota; Metazoa; Chordata; Mammalia; Primates; Cebidae
Exons: 2
Source: RefSeq, a predicted model, not a curated record
GCGGCGGGCGGCGGCGCUGCGUAGUCCGGCGCCCGGAGGGGGCGCUGCUCCGGAAUGAGGGCGGAGAGGGAGAGCGUUGCUUAAUGCCGGGCCGGGGGAGGGGUGGGACCCCGGCGCGGCGGGUCGGGUCACCCCGGGGACGCGGCUCUGCCCUCGGGCCACACCUCCGAGACCCGGGGCAUGGCCGUGGUCCUUACAAGUUGCAGGCUGCCGGAACGCCCACUGGCCAGUCUUCGCGCCCGCGCAGCCCCCUUCCAGAUGCGCCAGUCUCCUCGCUGCCCUCCAAACACUCACUUUUCUUUAUUAUCGUGAGUGAUCUUGGAUGUACAGUAUUCGUCAAUGAAUGAAUGUGUUGAAAUGUGCGAUGCGGGAACUGCGCAGCGCCUCGGGUUUGGCUUUCUCCAGCAUCUUACUGUAUUGAUCACCCCCUCCACUGAGCAGCACAGCCCUGAGGACAGAGGCCCCAAAAGCAUUUUCAACACAACAAUAUUUAUUCAUAUUUACACCUUGAGACCCCCAAGGCAUUGCUCCUCAUCCCUAACCCCUACCCCUAGGCCCUACCUUCCCGUUCAGCCACCCUCUUUCUCCCCUUCUUCCCGCACCCUCUUUCUCCCCUCCCUCUCCCACCCUCCAAAGCUGGGGUACAGCAAGAUCAGCAGUGGGGGAGAAGUCUUUGCUUUGGGUUGCCUGGUGCUGUGAGGGUCCAAGAGUUGAGAGCUCCACCCUUGGGCACUGGCACCAGAGAUCCUGCCCUGUGGCCCCUACUUUCUAUGAUGCCGCUUUUUCUUCCUCUUAGAGACCAAGGGGUCACCCUUUCUUUUUUGAGACUGUGAGGGGCCACCCAGCCCCCAAGCCAGGGAUUGCGCCCCACAGACUCUGAGCCCAGGCCCUAGGUGGGGCGUCUGUUCAGCAGGGGAUGGGCCUCCGAAGAGAGCUCGCUUCCUGGACUUGGUGGCAGGAGCAGGUGCUGGGCUGAGGCCUCUUCUCUUUGCAGAUUGGGACUGAAGAGCUCCCUGGGGUCCCCACCCUUCUGGGCUGAGAAGGGCUGAGGCAGGGACAGGGCUCUGGGACAGCUUCCAGGGCCGCAGCCUGUAGUUGGUACCCACGACAGAAACCAUACCAGGGAUUUCCCUCUCCUCCUCACUUGACCCCUUAGACAGCCUGUGUGACUCCUUGACAGGAGAGGCUCCAGGGAGACCCCAGGUGUCUUUGGUCCCCAUGCCUGGGCAGUUGGGUCUGUGGUCCUGGUGAAGAGAGUAUGGCCGGGCAGCCCUCAGCCAGCGGGAAUCCAGCCUCUCCAAAAGCACAACAGGGGUUUUGGACCUGGCCACCCCAGUGCACACUCUGCCUCUUCCCUGAGGGUCCCGGGAGGCCGUCUGGGGGGUGGGUCUGUGGUCCUGGGGAGGAGAAUAUGGCCGGGCAGCCCUCAGCCUGCGGGAAUCCAGCCUCUCCAAAAGCACAACAGGGUUUUUGGACCUGGCCAUGCCAGUGCAUGCUCUGCCUCGUCCCUGAGGGUCCUGGGCAACCGUCUGGGGUGGGCAGGUUUCCAUGCUGACCCCUUGUUGGGGGCCAGGGACAUCUCUCUCUGUUCCUUGGCCCGCUGCAGACUUAGAAGAGAUUGAGUCCAACCGGGCGGUGCCAUGACUAGGGGCUGCCCUCGCACACCGUUCCUCCAAGGAUAGGCGGCGCUUCUCCACUACCUGCGGGAGGAAAGGGGGCACUUACUGGCGCUGCCCCAAGUGUGAGCAGGGCCCAGGGUGGCAGAGACCAGGGCACUUGGGCAGCAGGCAGGGAAGCCUGAGGCAGCUGGGCUUCCUGUCAAAGAGAGGGUGUGGCUCUGCCGGGCAUCCCGCUGGGCCUCACUGCAGUUUGCAUCCUGAUUCUCCUCCCUGGCUCCUCUCCAUCCUGCUCCAUCUGAACCUGCACCUCCCCACCUCGGAGUGGCUCCCCAAGAAGCUGAGCAUCCCCCACAGGGUGGGGUAGACAAUCAGUUGGGGCUUGUGUGCCGGGUUCCUCCUGCCCCCGGGGUACCUGGGUUCCCUACCCUCCCUGCUCUACCUGGGCAAGGGUGAGUCCUUCCUCCUGAUCCAGUUCCUGGCUUAGGGCCAAGAAAUCCAUGUGUGGAUCUGGGGAAAGCAAUUCUUCCAGAAAUCGGGGGUGGAUGACGGCCUCCACCUGGAAACAGAAGGAAGACAGCGUGAGGUUCCCAGGCAGAGAGUAACCUGGAGCCAAGGACACCUAGAGGAGAUGCAGAAAGCAGCAAGUGCUCCGUCCCCACCCUUCUGGAGCUGUCUUAUACCAUGGCGACCACCAGCUCCACACACAAACCUGGUAGCAUCCAUACAUGCAGACAGAGACACACAAACCACACACACUCACAUAUGACACAGGAGAAUACACAGACACAGUAAUAUGCACACGCCACACUCAGCCACACAGACACAUAGUAACAAAUCACAGAGACAAACACACAGACACACAGUCACAUACACAGACACUCAAAUCCACGGAAACACAUGAAACCACCCCCUUUGGAGUAGCUAAGGAACAGAGCUUAAUUCCAGGGACCUGCGAGUGUCACCCCCUGGAAUUCUGCAGACCCCAGCACUUCAGGCCAGCCCACCUUGGUGACGAAGUCUUCCUGGGAACACAGAUUGUCAGCGUAGCUCAGGACGCCUGGGUCUAGAAGCAUCCCGUCUCCUUCCUGGUCCACUUCGCCCUCUUCCCAUUUUGCCUUUAGCUCCCCUGUGGCCCCAAUGGGAGGACCCAGCAGGUCCUCCAUGAUGUCCACAUACUCCUGCACCACUUCAGGGGGUAUCUCCUCGGGGGCCUUGGUCUCCGCUGGUUGCUGGGGCCUGGGUGGUGGCAGGCAGGCAGGCGGGGCCUUGGGGCAGGCCUUGCUGGGAAGGUACACUGAGGUAGGGAGGGAGGAGGACAGACGUGGUGAGGGCUGCUCCUCCUGCCUGCACCACACAGGGGAGGGCAGGGCUCGGGGACGUGAAGUGGGUCCCAGGACCACCUGAACCACAGCACCCCAGAGGAGACGCCGCAGGGGGGCACAUGUGAGAUAACAUCAUUUUGGAGGAAGUUUCGAGUCACUGAUCUGCUGAGUACUCUGCCCACUCAUCCCUGUUUCUGGGCAGAUUGUUGAGUUUUGGAAUGGCGAGGGGAGGGAGUAGGUAGGAAAUGUGACCAGGUGAAUACCCACUUCAUGACCACGGGACACCCAGCCCCCCGGCUCCCCUGAGCUGUCUUGUUGGAAGGAACAAAUCCCUCUCUUGAAGGGAGGCAUGGGGUGUGGGGACAGUGGCCUCCCUUGGCCCCUCUGGCCUUUGCCGUGGCUCCUGUGGGAAUGUGGGAAGCGUACCUGGCAGCUUCACCACCUCAGGGGCUGAUGGUCUUCGAGGCUCAAGCCUCGGCAGGGCUGGAGGAGGCAGGCACUGGGGCCCCUUCAUCCACUGCGACUUCUGAAUCUGCAUCUUCUCCUCAGCCUCAAACUCCAGAAACCUGGGGUGAAGAAGGUGCAGGCCGUGCUGAGAGGGUCUAGACCCCCUGCCCCCAGGAUCAGGCAGCAGCCGAUGGCAGCGAUGGGAAGGAGUGCCUCGGGCAGGUUGUCCAGGCCCUCCCUGGGGCCGGUCCCCCAGUCCCAGAGGGAGCUGCUCCCAGAGUUCUGGGCUCUCCGUCCCUCACCCGGCCCCUGCAGAGCCAUGGCAUCAACAGGGCUUCCUGACUCAAAUCAGGGCCACGAGGCCCAGGAGGGCACCAGGGGGACCCCUCCUCCAGGCUUCAGGUGGCCAGUGGUGGGGUUUAUGGCAGAAGGUGUCAGGGAUGUUGCCCAGAUGCCGGAGUCCUGAGGUUGGGACUGUGGGUCCCUAUAGGAUAACUCAGGAGCACCAGGCGUGGGAGAUCCCUGGUCAGGAGGAAGCAAAAGCUGGGCCCAAAAACAGGGCCCGUUUCCCCUGAGGCUGCUGGUCUGUCUUAACAGAGGGGACUGCCCAGGAGCAAAGGCAGGCAGGCCAGAGAUGGGUCUCAUGGUGUCCUGGACGCAGGUCUCCCCUGACCCACCACAGGUUUCUCCAAUCCUGGCCAGGCCGGGAUGGG